Molecule: ribosomal RNA, 301 nt
Filed under: uncultured bacterium
Lineage: Bacteria
Description: partial 16S ribosomal RNA
Rfam family: Bacterial small subunit ribosomal RNA
Source: RNAcentral
CAGCCGCCGCGGUAAGACAGAGGAUGCAAGCGUUAUCCGGAAUGAUUGGGCAUAAAGCGUCUGUAGGUGGCUUUUCAAGUCCGCCGUCAAAUCCCAGGGCUCAACCCUGGACAGGCGGUGGAAACUACCAAGCUGGAGGAAGGUAGGGUGGUCUGGAACUUCCGGUGGAGCGGUGAAAUGCGUUGAGAUCGGAAGGAACGCCCGUGGCGAAAGCGAGGCCCUGGACCUUUUCUGACGCUGAGACGCGAAAGCCAGGGGAGCGAACGGGAUUAGAUACCCCGGUAGUCCCUGUCUCUUAUAC